UACGGAGGAUCCAAGCGUUAUUCGGAGUGACUGGGCGUAAAGAGUUGCGUAGGGGGUCUGAUAAGCAAAUAGUGAAAUCCUGUGGCUCAACCAUAGGGCUAUUAUUUGAACUGUCAGACUUGAGAGUAUGAGAGGUAGAUGGAAUUCCCAGUGUAGGAGUGAAAUCCGUAGAUAUUGGGAGGAACACCAAUGGCGUAGGCAGUCUACUGGCAUACUUCUGACCCUGAUGCACGAAAGCGUGGGGAGCGAACCGG
RNAcentral lists this ribosomal RNA (254 nucleotides) under uncultured bacterium. RNAcentral's name for it is "partial 16S ribosomal RNA". It matches the Rfam family "Bacterial small subunit ribosomal RNA", at positions 524 to 776 of the family's 1533-position model. The record is from RNAcentral.